GGGUAACCUGCCCAUCAGAAUGGGAUAACACUUGGAAACAGGUGCUAAUACCGUAUAACAAUCGAAACCGCAAGGUUUUGAUUUGAAAGGCGCUUUCGGGUGUCGCUGAUGGAUGGACCCGCGGUGCAUUAGCUAGUUGGUGAGGUAACGGCUCACCAAGGCCACGAUGCAUAGCCGACCUGAGAGGGUGAUCGGCCACAUUGGGACUGAGACACGGCCCAAACUCCUACGGGAGGCAGCAGUAGGGAAUCUUCGGCAAUGGACGAAAGUCUGACCGAGCAACGCCGCGUGAGUGAAGAAGGUUUUCGGAUCGUAAAACUCUGUUGUUAGAGAAGAACAAGGAUGAGAGUAACUGUUCAUCCCUUGACGGUAUCUAACCAGAAAGCCACGGCUAACUACGUGCCAGCAGCCGCGGUAAUACGUAGGUGGCAAGCGUUGUCCGGAUUUAUUGGGCGUAAAGCGAGCGCAGGCGGUUUCUUAAGUCUGAUGUGAAAGCCCCCGGCUCAACCGGGGAGGGUCAUUGGAAACUGGGAGACUUGAGUGCAGAAGAGGAGAGUGGAAUUCCAUGUGUAGCGGUGAAAUGCGUAGAUAUAUGGAGGAACACCAGUGGCGAAGGCGGCUCUCUGGUCUGUAACUGACGCUGAGGCUCGAAAGCGUGGGGAGCAAACAGGAUUAGAUACCCUGGUAGUCCACGCCGUAAACGAUGAGUGCUAAGUGUUGGAGGGUUUCCGCCCUUCAGUGCUGCAGCUAACGCAUUAAGCACUCCGCCUGGGGAGUACGACCGCAAGGUUGAAACUCAAAGGAAUUGACGGGGGCCCGCACAAGCGGUGGAGCAUGUGGUUUAAUUCGAAGCAACGCGAAGAACCUUACCAGGUCUUGACAUCCUUUGACCACUCUAGAGAUAGAGCUUCCCCUUCGGGGGCAAAGUGACAGGUGGUGCAUGGUUGUCGUCAGCUCGUGUCGUGAGAUGUUGGGUUAAGUCCCGCAACGAGCGCAACCCUUAUUGUUAGUUGCCAUCAUUCAGUUGGGCACUCUAGCAAGACUGCCGGUGACAAACCGGAGGAAGGUGGGGAUGACGUCAAAUCAUCAUGCCCCUUAUGACCUGGGCUACACACGUGCUACAAUGGGAAGUACAACGAGUUGCGAAGUCGCGAGGCUAAGCUAAUCUCUUAAAGCUUCUCUCAGUUCGGAUUGCAGGCUGCAACUCGCCCGUAUGAAGC
This 1220-nucleotide ribosomal RNA is filed under the name Enterococcus faecium. RNAcentral describes it as "bacterial SSU rRNA". It matches the Rfam family "Bacterial small subunit ribosomal RNA", at positions 119 to 1326 of the family's 1533-position model. Lineage: Bacteria; Bacillati; Bacillota; Bacilli; Lactobacillales; Enterococcaceae. The record is from RNAcentral.